This is a non-coding RNA of Cinara cedri, 303 nucleotides long. NCBI's taxonomy places the organism in Eukaryota, Metazoa, Arthropoda, Insecta, Hemiptera, Aphididae. The record is from the annotation of a GenBank genome assembly.
UGUUGUUUUUUUUUUCUUCUUUCGUUCUUUCUUCCAGCGGUUCUCCUCCUCCGUGAUUUCGCGUGCUCCCUCUACUCCGCCGAGAGAGAAUUUUUUUAUUUUUCUUAAAUAAUUAUCAUUAUUAUUAGGCGUACACCCGGGAGACAAGACACGGCGCGCGGUUCGUGAAUACCGCUACGCCAAAUUCAAGGUUGUCUUGUCGCACAGGUUCAAUAACUCCCGGUAACCUGCUGCUGUACAACAAGCAGCCGGAGGCCAAUCAUAAUCGACUGCUACCUCCGAGGUAUACAAAAUAUUAUUAUA